GAAAAAAAAAUUAGUAUAAUUAUAAGGUUCGACUUUAUAGUUUAUUGCUUUUGCUUUGUUUAAUUGAUUACUGAAAAGUUUUACAGAUGUGCAUUUGCUCGUUGUUAGCAUAUGUACGUAUGCAUGUAUGCAAGUACAUAUAUAUAUGCUUAUACGUGUACAUAUUUAUGUGUGUAUAUGUACAUUUGGCUUCAAUUUUAAUAUAAAACCUAUAAAUAAAUAUUAAAAAAAAUUACGGUUUAGCGUAAUUGCAAAAAAACUAAAAUCUCACAAAGGAACAAUACUAUAAAAGAAAAUACCACAAAACGGAAUAUUAUUAUAUGAAUGUCUAAUAUAUAGACACAAAUACGAAUAUAUACAUAAAAAAAAAUAUACACCACUACUUACUACUAUUGCUCUUAACUUUAUUUUUAUAAUUUUUUUGUAAAUAUCAUGGGUUUAUCAGAGAAUCCGAAGUUUUAUUCGCUUUUCAAAAAAUUGAUUAAAUAUAGAAAAAUUAUAGGAAUCACAGUUUCAAUUUUAGGCUUCGUUUAUUUUUGUUUUUUUUAUAAAAUUUACAAAAAAGCAGUGCUAGAUUCACGGAUAUUUAGCUUGUAUCCUGGUAACUCUGUUUUGGACAAGUCAGAUGAAGAGUUUAUGCAAGAAGUAAAUAAUUAUUUUUUAAAUUACGAUUAUAAAGAAAAUGAACAUAUAAUAGAUAUAAUACAGAGUUAUAUUGAAAAUAUAUCUUUAUUACCUCAAUUAGAAAAACAUAAAAUAAAAGUAAAUGACUUAGUUGAUGAUUAUAUAUUAGUUAGUAAUGUUGUUUGUAAAUUUUGUAAUAGUUUAGAGAAUAUAAUAGUUGUAAUAAAUUUUUAUUACAAUGAAAGGCAAUAUUUUCAUGCUGUGAAUGUUGGAUUAACACUGAUAAACCACUUUUUAAAUUGUAACUAUAUGAGUAAAGAUGUAACAUUUGUAUUUACUAAUAAAGCAUUACCAUAUUCAUUAGGAAUACAUAAAUUCAUUGAAUUAUAUCUUUAUAAUAAUAAUGAUAAUCAAACUGGCAUUUUUAGAGGAGCACUGAUAAUAGAAUUUGAUCAUAUGUACGCAUCACAAAUACAAAUAAAUUAUGAAAGCUUAAAUGGAAUGCUACCUAAUCAGGAUAUGAUUAUUUUACUAACAGAAGAGUUAAUUGAAAAUGGCAUUCCUAUAAAAAUACAACCAGUUUAUAACGUAAUAUAUGAUAUGGCUUUUGAAAAAUUGCAUGAAAAAGGACAUAUACACUUUUUAAGGUAAUUUAUACAGUCGAGGCGUGUUUAUAUAUAUAUAUAUAUAUAUAUGCACGUAUGUGUCUGAAAAAAAAAAAAAAAAUGGUCUUCACCCGUUUAGUUAUUUACUCACCCACUAUAAAAGUAUGACAACAUAAGACGUCGUAUAUACACAUUUUUUCCAUAUAUGUGUUUUUUUUUUUUUUUUUUUUUUUUUUGAGAAAGCAUUUCUUCAUUUACGGUAACCGGUGUAACAAAAGUUCCCAUAAAAAACAAAGCUAUAAAUUUAUUUGAUUUCA
This 1546-nucleotide long non-coding RNA is filed under the name Piliocolobus tephrosceles (Ugandan red Colobus). RNAcentral describes it as "lncRNA (ENSPTEG00000013668.1)". Lineage: Eukaryota; Metazoa; Chordata; Mammalia; Primates; Cercopithecidae. The record is from RNAcentral.